GCGAUUGGGCAAGUCUUGAUAGGCUUUCCGCCAAUCCUCGAUCGACCAUCCCUUGGCAUGAAGGAUGCUCUCAACCAAUAACAUGUCGGAAAUGGCAUCACCCACAGUCUGAAACGCCAAUCAAACCUUUUAAAUCUGAUUUCUGCAACCCUAAUAACCAUACGACGAGCCAAAAAUGCCUUACCAAUUUCUGGGUGAUAUAAUUGGUAGAACUUCCAUUGGCAUAAGCUGUCUGAACAAUACCCAUAUUCAGGGACACUUUUGCUUGGUCCAACAACUCCUUGAGGAACUCGGCCACUGAAAAGAUUCCAAGUCACAACUCAGGAUUAGGACCAUUGUCCAGGUUUCAUCUCCUCGCAUACACACCUAAAGUGGCGAUCCGAUCUCCAUCCAACAUGGCGAAUUGUCCGGAUUCCUUAUCAUUGUAAAAAUACAUGACUCGAUCCGCAUCACCAUCCACCGACACACAUCGCUCCCCCCGGGUCUUCUCCAGACCUUUGGGCGAUGUCUGUUGAACCUUGACGAAAUCCGCGCCACAAUCCCCAUUGAGCACAUCUCCGGGUUGAGUGCCGUCAUUGACAAUCUCCAUUUGGAUCGAAUCUCCCAAGAAGGUAAGAAACUCCUUCAUCUUUUGGGCUCCCACUCCAUUGGCGCCAUCAAACAUCAGUUUUGGUGAAUACCUUCCGUUCACCGGGUUCUAAAAUCAAUCGUACUUUGGCAUGUUUCGGGUAAACUUGAAACCUUACAUUUAGGUCAGUGUCUUACACUGCCUCGGAAAGCCUUGAAGGCUUGGCUAAUCUUAGAAUAGUAGCCCUUGGCUGAGGCUUCUCCAUACUGGCCAUGGGUGUUUUGACACACCACCAAAUAGUGCAAUUGAGGAGUGGACACAAUCCCGGCAUCAAUUACGGCCCCCUCCACGGCCUU
Molecule: long non-coding RNA, 924 nt
Organism: Tigriopus californicus
Lineage: Eukaryota; Metazoa; Arthropoda; Copepoda; Harpacticoida; Harpacticidae
Exons: 2
Source: RefSeq, a predicted model, not a curated record